This 295-nucleotide unclassified non-coding RNA is filed under the name Entoloma sp. RNAcentral describes it as "partial contains 5.8S ribosomal RNA, internal transcribed spacer 2, and large subunit ribosomal RNA". Lineage: Eukaryota; Fungi; Basidiomycota; Agaricomycetes; Agaricales; Entolomataceae. The record is from RNAcentral.
CGCACCUUGCGCUCCUUGGUAUUCCGAGGAGCAUGCCUGUUUGAGUGUCGUGAAAUUAUCAACCUAUCUGGCUUUGAUUAGCUAGUUAGGCUUGGAUUAUGGAGGUUGCUGGUUUCCCAGAAAUCAGCUCUUCUUAAAUAUAUUAGCAAAGUCUUCGCUGAAGAUCUCUGGUAUGAUAAUUAUCUAUAUCAUUGAGAAUCAGCUUUCCAUCUCGGAAGGGCUUUGCUUCAAAUAGUCUUUACGGACAACUUGACAAUUUGACCUCAAAUCAGGUAGGACUACCCGCUGAACUUAA